This 1541-nucleotide ribosomal RNA is filed under the name Klebsiella pneumoniae subsp. pneumoniae 1158. RNAcentral describes it as "bacterial SSU rRNA". It matches the Rfam family "Bacterial small subunit ribosomal RNA". The record is from RNAcentral. Lineage: Bacteria; Pseudomonadati; Pseudomonadota; Gammaproteobacteria; Enterobacterales; Enterobacteriaceae.
AAAUUGAAGAGUUUGAUCAUGGCUCAGAUUGAACGCUGGCGGCAGGCCUAACACAUGCAAGUCGAGCGGUAGCACAGAGAGCUUGCUCUCGGGUGACGAGCGGCGGACGGGUGAGUAAUGUCUGGGAAACUGCCUGAUGGAGGGGGAUAACUACUGGAAACGGUAGCUAAUACCGCAUAAUGUCGCAAGACCAAAGUGGGGGACCUUCGGGCCUCAUGCCAUCAGAUGUGCCCAGAUGGGAUUAGCUAGUAGGUGGGGUAACGGCUCACCUAGGCGACGAUCCCUAGCUGGUCUGAGAGGAUGACCAGCCACACUGGAACUGAGACACGGUCCAGACUCCUACGGGAGGCAGCAGUGGGGAAUAUUGCACAAUGGGCGCAAGCCUGAUGCAGCCAUGCCGCGUGUGUGAAGAAGGCCUUCGGGUUGUAAAGCACUUUCAGCGGGGAGGAAGGCGUUAAGGUUAAUAACCUUGGUCGAUUGACGUUACCCGCAGAAGAAGCACCGGCUAACUCCGUGCCAGCAGCCGCGGUAAUACGGAGGGUGCAAGCGUUAAUCGGAAUUACUGGGCGUAAAGCGCACGCAGGCGGUCUGUCAAGUCGGAUGUGAAAUCCCCGGGCUUAACCUGGGAACUGCAUUCGAAACUGGCAGGCUAGAGUCUUGUAGAGGGGGGUAGAAUUCCAGGUGUAGCGGUGAAAUGCGUAGAGAUCUGGAGGAAUACCGGUGGCGAAGGCGGCCCCCUGGACAAAGACUGACGCUCAGGUGCGAAAGCGUGGGGAGCAAACAGGAUUAGAUACCCUGGUAGUCCACGCCGUAAACGAUGUCGAUUUGGAGGUUGUGCCCUUGAGGCGUGGCUUCCGGAGCUAACGCGUUAAAUCGACCGCCUGGGGAGUACGGCCGCAAGGUUAAAACUCAAAUGAAUUGACGGGGGCCCGCACAAGCGGUGGAGCAUGUGGUUUAAUUCGAUGCAACGCGAAGAACCUUACCUGGUCUUGACAUCCACAGAACUUUCCAGAGAUGGAUUGGUGCCUUCGGGAACUGUGAGACAGGUGCUGCAUGGCUGUCGUCAGCUCGUGUUGUGAAAUGUUGGGUUAAGUCCCGCAACGAGCGCAACCCUUAUCCUUUGUUGCCAGCGGUCCGGCCGGGAACUCAAAGGAGACUGCCAGUGAUAAACUGGAGGAAGGUGGGGAUGACGUCAAGUCAUCAUGGCCCUUACGACCAGGGCUACACACGUGCUACAAUGGCAUAUACAAAGAGAAGCGACCUCGCGAGAGCAAGCGGACCUCAUAAAGUAUGUCGUAGUCCGGAUUGGAGUCUGCAACUCGACUCCAUGAAGUCGGAAUCGCUAGUAAUCGUAGAUCAGAAUGCUACGGUGAAUACGUUCCCGGGCCUUGUACACACCGCCCGUCACACCAUGGGAGUGGGUUGCAAAAGAAGUAGGUAGCUUAACCUUCGGGAGGGCGCUUACCACUUUGUGAUUCAUGACUGGGGUGAAGUCGUAACAAGGUAACCGUAGGGGAACCUGCGGUUGGAUCACCUCCUUA